RNAcentral lists this ribosomal RNA (253 nucleotides) under uncultured bacterium. Its description in RNAcentral is "partial 16S ribosomal RNA". It matches the Rfam family "Bacterial small subunit ribosomal RNA", at positions 524 to 776 of the family's 1533-position model. The record is from RNAcentral.
UACGGGGGGUGCAAGCGUUAAUCGGAAUUACUGGGCGUAAAGGGUGCGUAGGUUGUUGUAUAAGUUAGUUGUGAAAUACCUGUGCUUAACGUGGGGGUGUCAAUUGGUACUGUAUGACUUGAGUAAAGCAGAGGGUGGUGGAAUUUCCGGUGUAGCGGUGAAAUGCGUAGAGAUCGGAAGGAACAUCGGUGGCGAAGGCGACCACCUGGGCUAUUACUGACACUGAGGCACGAAAGCGUGGGUAGCAAACAGG